AGUGAACGCUGGCGGUAGGCCUAACACAUGCAAGUCGAACGGCAGCACAGUAAGAGCUUGCUCUUACGGGUGGCGAGUGGCGGACGGGUGAGGAAUACAUCGGAAUCUACUUUUUCGUGGCGGAUAACGUAGGGAAACUUACGCUAAUACCGCAUACGACCUACGGGUGAAAGCAGGGGAUCUUCGGACCUUGCGCGAUUGAAUGAGCCGAUGUCGGAUUAGCUAGUUGGCGGGGUAAAGGCCCACCAAGGCGACGAUCCGUAGCUGGUCUGAGAGGAUGAUCCGCCACACUGGAACUGAGACACGGUCCAGACUCCUACGGGAGGCAGCAGUGGGGAAUAUUGGACAAUGGGCGCAAGCCUGAUCCAGCCAUACCGCGUGGGUGAAGAAGGCCUUCGGGUUGUAAAGCCCUUUUGUUGGGAAAGAAGAGCAGCAGGUUAAUACCCCGCUGUUCGGACGGUACCCAAAGAAUAAGCACCGGCGAACUUCGU
This 491-nucleotide ribosomal RNA is filed under the name uncultured bacterium. RNAcentral describes it as "partial 16S ribosomal RNA". It matches the Rfam family "Bacterial small subunit ribosomal RNA", at positions 29 to 506 of the family's 1533-position model. The record is from RNAcentral.